GUGGUUGUGGCUCAGUGGUCGAGCACUUGCCUAGCAUGUGUGAGGCCCUGGGUUCAAUCUCCAGUACCACA
This 71-nucleotide transfer RNA is filed under the name Marmota monax (woodchuck). The record is from Rfam by way of RNAcentral. Lineage: Eukaryota; Metazoa; Chordata; Mammalia; Rodentia; Sciuridae.